RNAcentral lists this ribosomal RNA (526 nucleotides) under Melanelixia glabratula. RNAcentral describes it as "eukaryotic LSU rRNA". It matches the Rfam family "Eukaryotic large subunit ribosomal RNA", at positions 112 to 650 of the family's 3401-position model. The record is from RNAcentral. Lineage: Eukaryota; Fungi; Ascomycota; Lecanoromycetes; Lecanorales; Parmeliaceae.
AAUUUGAAAUCUGGCCCCUUCGGGGUCCGAGUUGUAAUUUGUAGAGAGUGCUUCGGGGGAGACCGCGGUCUAAGUCCAUUGGAACAUGGCGUCAUAGAGGGUGAGAAUCCCGUAUGUGACCGUGGCUCGAACCCGUGUGAAGCCUCUUCGACGAGUCGAGUUGUUUGGGAAUGCAGCUCAAAAUGGGUGGUAAAUUUCAUCUAAAGCUAAAUACUGGCUGGAGACCGAUAGCGCACAAGUAGAGUGAUCGAAAGAUGAAAAGCACUUUGGAAAGAGAGUUAAAAAGUACGUGAAAUUGUUGAAAGGGAAGCGCUGGCAACCAGACCUGCCCGUAGGCGAUCAGCCGCUGUUCUCAGCGGUGCACUCGCUCUGCGAUCAGGCCAGCAUCGGUUCCGGCGGUCGGAUAAAGGCCUUGGGAAUGUAGCUGCCCUUCGGGGGAGUCUUAUAGCCCUCGGUGCAAUGCGGCCAGCCGGGACCGAGGACCGCGCUUCGGCUAGGAUGCUGGCGUAAUGGUUGUCAGCGACCC